UCCGGCUUAUCACCGGCGGUUUCCUUAGAGUGCCCAACUGAAUGGUAGCAACUAAGGACGAGGGUUGCGCUCGUUGCGGGACUUAACCCAACAUCUCACGACACGAGCUGACGACAGCCAUGCAGCACCUGUGUGCUAGCCAGCCUAACUGAAGGAAUCCAUCUCUGGUGCCCAUACGGGACAUGUCAAAGGUUGGUAAGGUUCUUCGCGUUGCUUCGAAUUGAACCACAUGCUCCACCGCUUGUGCGGGCCCCCAUCAAUUCCUUUGAGUUUUAAUCUUGCGACCGUACUCCCCAGGCGGGAUGCUUAAUGCGUUAGCUGCGCCACUGACAGGCAAGCCUGCCAACGGCUAGCAUCCAUCGUUUACGGCGUGGACUAC
RNAcentral lists this unclassified non-coding RNA (379 nucleotides) under uncultured Alphaproteobacteria bacterium. RNAcentral describes it as "contains 16S-23S intergenic spacer region". Lineage: Bacteria; Pseudomonadati; Pseudomonadota; Alphaproteobacteria. The record is from RNAcentral.